GAUCAUGGCUCAGGAUGAACGCUAGCGGCAGGCCUAANCAUGCAAGUCGAGGGGUAGUUACUUUCGGGGUAAUGGAGACCGGCGCACGGGUGCGUAACGCGUAUGCAAUCUACCUUUUACAGGGGAAUAGCCCAGAGAAAUUUGGAUUAAUGCCCCAUAGUAUAUAUGAAUCGCAUGGUUUAUAUAUUAAAGUUCCAACGGUAAAAGAUGAGCAUGCGUCCCAUUAGUUAGUUGGUAAGGUAACGGCUUACCAAGACGAUGAUGGGUAGGGGUCCUGAGAGGGAGAUCCCCCACACUGGUACUGAGACACGGACCAGACUCCUACGGGAGGCAGCAGUGAGGAAUAUUGGACAAUGGGCGCAAGCCUGAUCCAGCCAUGCCGCGUGCAGGAAGAAGCAUCUAUGGUGUGUAAACUGCUUUUGUACAGGAAGAAACACUCCCUCGUGAGGGAGCUUGACGGUACUGUAAGAAUAAGGAUCGGCUAACUCCGUG
Molecule: ribosomal RNA, 492 nt
Filed under: uncultured bacterium
Lineage: Bacteria
Description: bacterial SSU rRNA
Rfam family: Bacterial small subunit ribosomal RNA
Source: RNAcentral